GCUGAUGAUGGCUGUGGACAGGACAGCAUGGACAGGCUGUGCUCUACCCUCCUGCUGCUCACUCUCCCUUCCUGGGCCCUGUCCCAGAUUGCCCUGAAGGAGUCUGGACCUGGGCUGCUGCCACCCUCCCAGACCCUCAGCCUCACCUGCUCCAUCUCAGGAUUCUCUCUGAGCACUAAUGGUGUGGGUGUGAGUUGGAUCCGGCAGCCCCCAGGGAAGACCCUGGAGUGGCUGGCAAAUGUGUGGUGGGAUGAUGAUAAGUACUACAACCCAGCCCUGAAGAGCCGGCUCUCCAUCUCCAAGGACAGCUCCAACAGCCAGGUGUUCCUCACACUGGCCAGCGUGGACUCUGCAGACACAGCCACCUAUUACUGUGCUAGAGGCCACAGAGGCACAGCCGCAGGGGCCUCCUGCACAAGAUCUCAGGCUGGGCCUCAGCUCUGUGCUGGCCCCGAGCAUCAGGAAGGUACCUACUCCCAGGUCCAGCCUGUGCAAUCUGGGCCUGAGCUGAAGAAGCCUGGAGGGGCCAUGAAGAUCUCCUGCAAGGCUUCUGGAUACACCUUCACUAGCUAUGCUAUUAACUGGAUGCGACAGUAG
This is a non-coding RNA of Dipodomys ordii (Ord's kangaroo rat), 597 nucleotides long. Lineage: Eukaryota; Metazoa; Chordata; Mammalia; Rodentia; Heteromyidae. The record is from the annotation of a RefSeq genome assembly.